This 282-nucleotide ribosomal RNA is filed under the name uncultured bacterium. RNAcentral describes it as "partial 16S ribosomal RNA". It matches the Rfam family "Bacterial small subunit ribosomal RNA", at positions 29 to 293 of the family's 1533-position model. The record is from RNAcentral.
AACGAACGCUGGCGGUGUGCCUCAUACAUGCAAGUCGUACGCGAAUCCUGCCGCAAGGCAGGGUUUGAGUGGCAAACGGGUGCGUAACACGUAGGUAAUCUUCCUUUGAGUUGGGGAUAAGCCCUCGAAAGGGGGUCUAAUACCGAAUAACACUUCGGGCCGGCAUCGGCCUGAAAAUUAAAGAUGGCCUCUGCUUGCAAGCUAUCGCUCGGAGAUGAGCCUGCGGCCGAUUAGUUAGUUGGCGGAUAAAAGCCCACCAAGACUUCGAUCGGUAGCCGGUCU